RNAcentral lists this ribosomal RNA (231 nucleotides) under uncultured bacterium. Its description in RNAcentral is "partial 16S ribosomal RNA". It matches the Rfam family "Bacterial small subunit ribosomal RNA", at positions 524 to 751 of the family's 1533-position model. The record is from RNAcentral.
UACGUAGGGUCCGAGCGUUUAAUCGGAAUUACUGGGCGUAAAGCGUGCGCAGGCGGUUUCUGAAGUCCGUUGUGAAAGCCCCGGGCUUAACCUGGGAAUGGCAGUGGAAACUAGGAGACUUGAAUCUGGCAGAGGGGGGUGGAAUGCCACGGUGUAGCAGUGAAAUGCGUAGAGAAUGUGGCGGAACACCGAUGGCGAAGGCAGCCCCCUGGGUCAAGAUUGACGCUCAGG